Molecule: small nucleolar RNA, 124 nt
Organism: Nannospalax galili (Upper Galilee mountains blind mole rat)
Lineage: Eukaryota; Metazoa; Chordata; Mammalia; Rodentia; Spalacidae
Source: Ensembl
UAAAAUUUUUGUUUAAAGAAUCUAAUCCAUGCCAUCUGUCACCACAUGACAGAACAAUGUGGAGAAUCUUUGACAGCUCAGGUCAGCACAGUACCUGCAGCUGCCACUCGCAUUUCCUAUAGAC